RNAcentral lists this ribosomal RNA (475 nucleotides) under uncultured bacterium. RNAcentral describes it as "bacterial SSU rRNA". It matches the Rfam family "Bacterial small subunit ribosomal RNA", at positions 110 to 559 of the family's 1533-position model. The record is from RNAcentral.
GUAACACGUAGGCAAUCUGCCUCGAGGUGGUGGACGUAACCCGUACCGAAAGGAGGGCUAAUACAGCAUGAGACCACGUCGUCGAAGACGAUGCGGCCGAAAGCCGGCCUCUUCAUGAAAGCUGGCGCCACGAGAUGAGCCUGCGGCCCAUCAGCUAGUGGUAGGGUAACGGCCUACCAAGGCAAAGACGGGUAGCUGGUCUGAGAGGAUGAUCAGCCACACUGGAACUGAGACACGGUCCAGACUCCUACGGGAGGCAGCAGUGGGGAAUCUUGCGCAAUGGGCGAAAGCCUGACGCAGCGACGCCGCGUGAGCGAUGAAGGCCUUCGGGUUGUAAAGCUCUGUGGAGGGGGACGAAUAAGGGCACGCUAAUACCGUGUUUGAUGACGGUACCCCUUUUAGCAAGCACCGGCUAACUCUGUGCCAGCAGCCGCGGUAAGACAGAGGGUGCAAACGUUGUUCGGAAUUACUGGGC